GGGAAUAUUGCACAAUGGGGGAAACCCUGAUGCAGCGACGCCGCGUGAGUGAAGAAGUAUUUCGGUAUGUAAAGCUCUAUCAGCAGGGAAGAAAAAAGAGUUAAAACUCUUGGACGGUACCUGAGUAAGAAGCCCCGGCUAACUACGUGCCAGCAGCCGCGGUAAUACGUAGGGGGCAAGCGUUAUCCGGAUUUACUGGGUGUAAAGGGAGCGUAGACGGCCAGGCAAGUCUGAAGUGAAAGCCCGGGGCUCAACCCCGGGACCGCUUUGGAAACUGUAUGGCUAGAGUGCGGGAGGGGUAGGCGGAAUUCCUAGUGUAGCGGUGAAAUGCGUAGAUAUUAGGAGGAACACCGGUGGCGAAGGCGGCCUACUGGACCGUAACUGACGUUGAGGCUCGAAGGCGUGGGGAGCAAACAGGA
RNAcentral lists this ribosomal RNA (419 nucleotides) under uncultured bacterium. RNAcentral describes it as "bacterial SSU rRNA". It matches the Rfam family "Bacterial small subunit ribosomal RNA", at positions 357 to 777 of the family's 1533-position model. The record is from RNAcentral.